CAUUUUUAUGCCCCACCUACGAUAGUAGAGGGGCAUUAUGUUUUCUGGUCUGUGCGUCCGUUCGUUCGUUCGUCCGUCCGUCUGUUCGUUCGUUCGUCCGUUCGUUCGUUCGUCCGUCUGUCCCGCUUCAGGUUAAAGUUUUUGGUCAAGGUAGUUUUUGAUGAAGUUGAAGUCCAAUCAACUUGAAACUUAGUACACAUGUUCCUUAUGAUAUGAUCUUUCUAAUUUUAAAGCCAAAUUAAACUUUUGACCCCAAUUUCACGGUCCA
RNAcentral lists this long non-coding RNA (268 nucleotides) under Mytilus galloprovincialis (Mediterranean mussel). Lineage: Eukaryota; Metazoa; Mollusca; Bivalvia; Mytilida; Mytilidae. The record is from RNAcentral.